GGGGGUAUAGCUCAGGGGUAGAGCAUUUGACUGCAGAUCAAGAGGUCCCUGGUUCAAAUCCAGGUGCCCCGUGCA
RNAcentral lists this transfer RNA (75 nucleotides) under Tursiops truncatus (common bottlenose dolphin). Its description in RNAcentral is "tRNA-Cys (GCA) (tRNA-Cys-GCA-13-1)". It matches the Rfam family "tRNA". From Rfam's summary of the family: Transfer RNA (tRNA) molecules are approximately 80 nucleotides in length. Their secondary structure includes four short double-helical elements and three loops (D, anti-codon, and T loops). The record is from RNAcentral. Lineage: Eukaryota; Metazoa; Chordata; Mammalia; Artiodactyla; Delphinidae.